GAUGAACGCUGGCGGCGUGCCUAAUACAUGCAAGUCGAGCGAACGGACGAGAAGCUUGCUUCUCUGAUGUUAGCGUCGGACGGGUGAGUAACACGUGGAUAACCUACCUAUAAGACUGGGAUAACUUCGGGAAACCGGAGCUAAUACCGGAUAAUAUUUUGAACCGCAUGGUUCAAAAGUGAAAGACGGUCUUGCUGUCACUUAUAGAUGGAUCCGCGCUGCAUUAGCUAGUUGGUAAGGUAACGGCUUACCAAGGCAACGAUGCAUAGCCGACCUGAGAGGGUGAUAGGCCACACUGGAACUGAGACACGGUCCAGACUCCUACGGGAGGCAGCAGUAGGGAAUCUUCCGCAAAGGGCGAAAGCCUGACGGAGCAACGCCGCGUGAGUGAUGAAGGUCUUCGGAUCGUAAAACUCUGUUAUUAGGGAAGAACAUAUGUGUAAGUAACUGUGCACAUCUUGACGGUACCUAAUCAGAAAGCCACGGCUAACUACGUG
This 497-nucleotide ribosomal RNA is filed under the name uncultured bacterium. Its description in RNAcentral is "partial 16S ribosomal RNA". It matches the Rfam family "Bacterial small subunit ribosomal RNA", at positions 28 to 507 of the family's 1533-position model. The record is from RNAcentral.